GUGGGUUUGGAUUUUUUUUUUUUUUUUGCGUGGGGGUGGGGUGGGCAAAGUGAUGGGGACUGCAGAGGAGUCUGUUACAAAAUCAGAUGCAAUUUUAGCUGUCUGAAAGAGUUGCUUUAGUCUACAGGCAGCUGAUGAUCAAUGGUGCUGUUGGCAAAUCUGCUUCAAACUGGAUGCUGUCUCUCCUGAGGGAAAGUUUCAACUCAAGGCCCACUGUAGUGGUGGUACAGCAAGGGACUUUUGUUUGCUUUGGGCUAAGGACCUUCUGCUGCCCAGUUCCACCAGUGAGAAGAAAAGCUGGAGAUGAUGUGGGAGAGAAACACAGCACUGUCACUGCUGAUAUGAAGGAAAGAUGGAAACAGACUGCUGAAGGUCAAGGUGAGACUGACCGACAGUUCACCUGAGUGUGGUAUUCACCAGCAGAAAUCCAUGCCCACAGAUGCUGGAAGUCUCCUCAGCAAGAGAAACAGCAUUGCUGCAGGGGACACACAACUAGUCUUGAUCUUCUCUACACAAUUCUUCUCUGGGAAAAAGUACCCCCUGAAGUCAGUAUGCAUUCUGCCUAGCUUUCAUCGGAAGAAAAACGUCUGGAUUGAAAUGACAACAACAAAUAAUAGGUAAAGGAUGCUUCCCUGUGGCCUCAUAGAUCUGCUGUGUAACAGAAAACAUUCAGCCCUGGGUGCACAAGAGUUGUGGUUCACGUCUCUCUCCGAAGAAGCCUCAUUUUAAAUAAUGUUGUAGCAUACCUACUCAAUGCAGAUGCUGUGCUGCAGGCAUUUUGGGCUGUGAAUUUCAGCCUGUGCCUCUGGCUAGGCCAUCGAUGACAAGUUGCAAUACUUGUCCUUCUUGCAGAGAUCCCGGUCCAUCUUCAGUCACGUCGCUCACUGAUGGCUAGCUCCCUGUUUUGUUGUACAUCAAAGGUUCAUUUCAUUCCCUUCCCUCCCUUUUCUCUAGGUGUUGGUGAUUUGUGUGCUUUCCAUCUAAACCAGAGAUCUGGCACAUCAAUACUUAGAAGGCUUAGGAGAAAAAGAAAACAUCAAUAUUUCACUGAACAUACAAAGUUGCAUGACUCCCAGAUCUCCAUUUUAAUGUCAGCUGUGGUUAGUUUGGUUUUUUUUUUUUUUUUUUUUUUUCCAUAAUCUGAGUGAUUUCAGCUUCUCUUUGAAUCCCACCUGUGUGAAUAGCUUGGUUUUCUCCAUUGCUAGUUUUAACAAGGAGCUGUGAGGAGUUUGUUCAGGCUCACUAGUCAGGCAGUCCUGAGGUGGCUGACUUCUAGGAAAAGCCACAGCAGGAAUAAGCUAGAGCCAGCCUACGCACCAGGCACAGCUCUUGCUGGUCUUGAGCUUAUGCUCCGACUCACGCUCAUGUUAAACAAAUUGCCAUUAGCAACUGUAAUAUAGACAAAUGCAAAAAAAAACCCCAAACAACUGAGCUGGAUGCUUAGUCAUGGAGCUGUGCUUAGAAAUGAUGGCCCAUUAUAAGGCAGCUUCACUGACUACAGCGGAGCCAUGACAGCUCACGGCAAUUUAGGACUGGUUUCGCUCGCAUUAGUCUGUGGUCUAAAGUUUCUGAUCUUGUCCUCCAUGUGAACUAGAUCAUGCAAAUAGGGGUACUGGAGCCACAGGGAAGUGGAGCAGAGUGCCACAUGAGUACUGGCACAAGAAGGAGCAGCAAUUAGCUCUAAAUUUCACUCUGCCGACCUGUCAUUUCUGAGCUUCCCCCCUGCUGCUCUGUAACGGGAAGCCUUGUGCUCUAGAAGAAGGGGAGAAGAACAUUUUGCUCAUGCUCAUAUUAGACAAGUUGUAUUGUGAGCUGCUGAAGCUGUGAAAUUGUAUCUCCUGUGGUGUUCAGUGGUAAUAACUGUUUCUAUGUGGACUCUCUGGUGUCUAGUAAUACAGUUGUGUUUCUGCAGUGGAUGCACUCACAGGGUUUUUCUCCUCUGCCCGCCUACUUCCACAGCACUUGUAGGCAGCUCAAACCUUUGAAACUUCCAUCACCUGUCAAGUUUGAUCAAACCCAGCUCAUAGGCUCAAAAAAUUAUUUAGGAGGGACUGACUGGCACUUGCACAGACAGUGUGAUCUCAUAAGCUUCCUUUCCUUGGGAAACUAGGCUACCAACCUAGCAACAGGGGAAAAAAAAUGUCAUCCUGCUAGCAAAAAGGACCUAAACACUGGGAGAAAAGAGGGAAAGUGGGAGAGGAAAGUGAAGCUAUUUUGAAGGGAAAAAAAAAAUCAUUGCCUGUGGCUGCAGAACUGUCACACACCUAAACAGCCAACCUUGGGAAGGCAUGCUGGAGAAAAUAUUAUCCAGGAGAUGACAAAAUCUCUUGUAAAAAUUAAUAGGGGAGAGAAAUCACCUGGAGUCAUCUCACCACCAGGCAUUCUAAAUGGAUAUUUAUAUAGUAAGGAUUGUCUCCAGUGGUACCCGUUUCUCUCUACUGACUAGAGGAAGACACCAACACAACUAGCACACAACCCAUACGCCUGCAGUAUCUGACGUGAGGUGGUUCCUAUUCCAAAGGGAACUAUUCUCUUAGCACUUUCUCCUGCAGACCAAAGUUUUCCGUGGUGCUGCUGCAGGAUUUGUUACUCCGUGUACCAUAUUUGUGUUUCAGAAAAGCUGCUUUGUGUCUUAAUAGCUGCAAAUGUACGCAUGGUUUUACUGGAUAUUCAUAAGCACUUAUCUUUUGUGCACUAAAACCUUUCCUGUCCUUGUUAUCUU
Molecule: long non-coding RNA, 2722 nt
Organism: Athene cunicularia (burrowing owl)
Lineage: Eukaryota; Metazoa; Chordata; Aves; Strigiformes; Strigidae
Exons: 3
Source: RefSeq, a predicted model, not a curated record